Oncorhynchus gorbuscha (pink salmon) is the source of this 1262-nucleotide long non-coding RNA. RefSeq lists it as uncharacterized. NCBI's taxonomy places the organism in Eukaryota, Metazoa, Chordata, Actinopteri, Salmoniformes, Salmonidae. The transcript has 3 exons. The record is from RefSeq and is a predicted model, not a curated record.
GACUCUACCUACUUUAUUCUAUGUAUAAAAAUGAAUGUAACCUUUGUAUAAGUUCUCUUUUCCACCUGACUUCUUACCGAGUUAUAUGAACUAGAUCCGUGCACGUAAAACUGCGGGACAAGAUUACUUUUAACUCAUUAAAACUGCCUUUUGUUUCAACUGAAAUACACUCUGUCCAGCGCCCGUGAUUUGGUCUCGACUCUCCAGUAUUUAAACACUAACAUUACGGCUAAGGAGUACUGUCUGCAUUGAUAGCGGUGCUUGCUGUGGAUGUUGUGAGGAAGGAAACUUGCAAGGAACUGCCAUACUUCGCUGAAGGAAUAUCUACAAGUAUCUUGAACUCUUUUAGGGCAGCGAUCCGCCUAGCUCUGGGCUUGACCUCUCUUCCUGACCUUGUGCGAUAUGAUGCUGAGCAUGCUUCUGUCAGUCAACAGUUCUUGUGAUGUUGCAGUAGGUGACGACGAUUGCAGUGUGAUCCUUCUGCGGUGCGGACGUGAUAUGAACGUUCUGUGUCAGCUGGCUGGAUGAUGACUACUGUCUUCCAGAGGCCAUGCUCCUCGAUUCUCACUGACUCUCCGUCGAUCAGUGAUGGCAGUGGUCUAGCUGACCUGUCGUAGUAUUGUUAUAUAAAUAAUCUAAUAUCAAGCAUUACUAGCAGACCAAAGCUCUGGUUAAACCGGAUGCCCUCAGAUAACUCUGGGCCAGGUGUCCUCAGUCAAGUUUAGAGCCUACAUGCAAUAACACGAUUAUCCGAAGGACACACAGCUGCCAUCACGCAAAUAUACUCCCCUGUAACUACAAAGAUCAGCCUGCAACACUAACGAGCUUAGAGUGCCAAACUAUCUCACUAACAUUGAACCCUACCCUACAUGCACUCCUGCAUAAACAGGAAACACCUGUGCCUAAAGCAGACACUGCUAGUUUCCCCUAUCUUACGUUCCUUGACACACAAACAUCUCAUGAAGCAACGCACACUCACACUCCACCCCCCCCCUACUGGUCGGGUGACGUGAGCAGAGGACUCUGCUAUGCACCAAUGGGGCGCCUCUGACUAGAGCAGGCCCGCCUCCAACUCUUCAGGACCAGUCAGAAGACCAACACGACAAGACUCCACCUACGUUAUUCUGUGUAUACAUUCUGUUGUAAACUCUGGCGAGGCAGCCUAAUUAUUCUGACUUCUCACAGAGUCACAUUGCUUAGGUCCGUGCACGAUAAACGGCAGGACAAGAUAUCUUUGACUCAAUAAACUGCCUUUUUGAUAC